RNAcentral lists this long non-coding RNA (428 nucleotides) under Equus caballus (horse). Its description in RNAcentral is "lncRNA (ENSECAG00000046046.1)". The record is from RNAcentral. Lineage: Eukaryota; Metazoa; Chordata; Mammalia; Perissodactyla; Equidae.
GGACCACAUGCUGGAAAUUUUCCAACCGUGGUGUUGACUUAGUUGCUGACCUCCAGGAACAUUCAUUCUGCGACUCUGUUGACAGCUCCCGCGGGCCCGGCACUCACCAGGCAGGCGGGCACACAGCUGGGGCCGUGUCAUCUCUUCCCACGGACUACCUCCAUCAUCGCUGUAACCAAGCCUGACUCAGGGAGAAGGGAGUGAGACAUCUCUGGGCAGCCAGCACAGUAGAAGAAGUGGAUGGGCACUGGUUCUACUAGCCAGACUGUAGACUCCUGGGAGCAGAAUCUCAGCAGGAGGAUCACAUCAGGACACAGAAAUAGCCAUUGUUUUUUGGGAAGCCAAUCAACGAAUCCACUUCUCAACGCAAAAUGUUGUAAAAAAUUAAAAUCUGAGUAGGGGUGUUGGUGAAAAGACCAAGCAUGGAU